This 1878-nucleotide ribosomal RNA is filed under the name human gut metagenome. Its description in RNAcentral is "bacterial LSU rRNA". It matches the Rfam family "Bacterial large subunit ribosomal RNA", at positions 3 to 1977 of the family's 2925-position model. The record is from RNAcentral.
UCAAGCUACAAAGAGCACAAGGGGAAUGCCUUGGCACCGAGAGCCGAAGAAGGACGUGACUAACUGCGAUAAGCUGCGGGAAGCCGUAAGUAGGCUUUGAUCCGCAGAUUUCCGAAUGGAGCAAUCCGGCAAGAGGAAAGUCUUGUCAUCAUAUACUGAAUACAUAGGUAUAUGAGGGGAACCGCCUGAACUGAAACAUCUAAGUAGGGCGAGGAAGAGAAAUCAACUGAGAUUCCGUAAGUAGUGGCGAGCGAACGCGGAAGAGGCCAAACCGAGAGUAGUAAUACUUUCGGGGUUCGGACAGAAUACGGUAUUGUAAAGGUUUAGUGGAAUGGAAUGGGAAGUCCAACCGAAGAAGGUGAGAGUCCUGUACACGAAAAGCCUGAACAACCAUCUGUAUCCAGAGUACCGCCGGACACGUGAAACCCGGUGGGAAUAUGGGGGGACCAUCCUCCAAGCCUAAAUACUACUCGGUGACCGAUAGUGAAGAAGUACUGUGAAGGAAAGGUGAAAAGUACCCCUGACGGGGAGUGAAAAAGAACCUGAAACCUUGUGUUUACAAGCACCGAAAGCUCAUCAAAGAGCGAUCGGGUACCUUUUGUAGAAUGGUCCGGCGAGUGAAUGUAACCGGCGAGGUUAAGCACUUAAGGUGUGAAGCCGCAGCGAGAGCAAGUCUGAAUAGGGCGUAUGAAGUCGGUUGUAUUCGACCCGAAACCGGGUGACCUACCCAUGGUCAGGUUGAAGUAAAGGUAAAACUUUAUGGAGGACCGAACCGACUCCCGUUGAAAUGGUAGCGGAUGAACUGUGGGUAGCGGAGAAAUUCCAAUCGAACCCGGAGAUAGCUGGUUCUCUCCGAAAUAGCUUUAGGGCUAGCCUUGAAAUAGAUUACCGGAGGUAAAGCACUGAAUUGGCUAGGGGCCGAGAGGUUACUGAACCUUAUCAAACUAAGAAUGCCGGAUAAUCGUUUUUCAGGAGUCAGACAGUGGGAGAUAAGUUUCAUUGUCAAAAGGGAAACAGCCCAGACCCACAGCUAAGGUCCCCAAGUAUAGUUAAGUGGAAAAGGAUGUGGAAUUGCACAGACAACCAGGAUGUUGGCUUAGAAGCAGCCACUCAUUAAAAGAGUGCGUAAUAGCUCACUGGUCGAGUGACUCUGCGCCGAAAAUUUAACGGGGCUAAACUAUACACCGAAGCUUGGGAUACAUCUAAUGUAUGGUAGGAGAGCGUUCUGUAUGGGGAGAAGUCGUAGCGAAAGCGGCGGUGGACUGUACAGAAGUGAGAAUGCCGGAAUAAGUAGCGAGAAUUAAGUGAGAAUCUUAAUGGCCGAAAGUCUAAGGUUUUUGGAGGAAGGUUCGUCCGCUCCAAGUAAGUCGGGAGCUAAGGUCAGGCCGAAAGGCGUAGCCGAUGCACAUACGGUUGAUAUUCCGUAACCAUCUGUAAUUUAAGCAAAGGGACACUUCAAAAGGGUGUGACCCGGGCGUUGGUUGACCCGGGCGUAAGGGACCGAAAUUAGAGUAGGGAAGCACACUUAGCUGAAGGCGAGAAAAGCUUUGCGUAUAGAAGCAGAUGCCCGUACCGCAAACCGACACAGGUGGACAGGAAGAGAAUUCUAAGGCCAGCGGGAGAAGGGUAGUUAAGGAACUCGGCAAAUUGACUCCGUAACUUCGGAAUAAGGAGUGCUCGAAAGAGCCGCAGAGAAUAGGCCCAGGCGACUGUUUAGCAAAAACACAGGUCUCUGCCAAAUCGAAAGAUGAAGUAUAGGGGCUGACACCUGCCCGGUGCCGGAAGGUUAAGAGGAGGAGUGAGAGCUCCGAAUUGAAGCCCCGGUAAACGGCGGCCGUAACUAUAACGGUCCUAAGGUAGCGAAAUUCCUUGUCGGGU